Molecule: ribosomal RNA, 256 nt
Filed under: uncultured bacterium
Lineage: Bacteria
Description: partial 16S ribosomal RNA
Rfam family: Bacterial small subunit ribosomal RNA
Source: RNAcentral
UACAGAGGGUGCAAGCGUUGCUCGGAAUCAUUGGGCGUAAAGGGCAGGUAGGUGGUCUGAUUUGUCUGGCGGUGAAAUCCUUGAGCUUAACUCAAGAAGUGCCCCGGAAACGGUCAGACUUACGAGUCUUGGAGAGGGAUGCAGAAUUCCAGGUGUAGCGGUGAAAUGCGUAGAUAUCUGGAGGAAUACCGGUGGCGAAGGCGGCAUCCUGGACCGGCAUUGACGCUGAGGAGCGACAGCCAGGGGAGCAAACGGG